UGGCGGACGGGUGAGUAACGCGUGGGAAUCUACCCAAUAGUGGAGGACAGCCAGGAGAAAUCCUGAUUAAUACUGCAUACGAUCUACGGAUGAAAGGUGGCCUCUGUUUACAUGCUAUCGCUAUUGGAUGAGCCCGCGUUAGAUUAGCUAGUUGGUGGGGUAAGAGCCUACCAAGGCGACGAUCUAUAGCUGGUCUGAGAGGACGACCAGCCACAUCGGGACUGAGACACGGCCCGGACUCCUACGGGAGGCAGCAGUGGGGAAUAUUGGACAAUGGGCGCAAGCCUGAUCCAGCAAUGCCGCGUGUGUGAAGAAGGCCCUAGGGUUGUAAAGCACUUUCAAUUGUGAAGAAGGGUAUAAGAUUAAUACUCUUGUAUCUUGACGUUAACUUUAGAAGAAGCACCGGCUAACUCUGUGCCAGCAGCCGCGGUAAUACAGAGGGUGCGAGCGUUAAUCGGAAUUACUGGGCGUAAAGCGCGCGUAGGCGGUUAGAUAAGUCAGAUGUGAAAUCCCCGGGCUCAACCUGGGAACUGCACCUGAUACUGUUUAACUAGAGUUUGGGAGAGGGAAGUAGAAUUUCAGGUGUAGCGGUGAAAUGCAUAGAGAUCUGAAGGAAUACCAGUGGCGAAGGCGACUUCCUGGCCUAAAACUGACGCUGAGGUGCGAAAGCGUGGGUAGCAAACGGGAUUAGAUACCCCGGUAGUCCACGCCGUAAACGAUG
Molecule: ribosomal RNA, 721 nt
Filed under: Cocleimonas flava
Lineage: Bacteria; Pseudomonadati; Pseudomonadota; Gammaproteobacteria; Thiotrichales; Thiotrichaceae
Description: bacterial SSU rRNA
Rfam family: Bacterial small subunit ribosomal RNA
Source: RNAcentral